RNAcentral lists this small RNA (30 nucleotides) under Bombyx mori (domestic silkworm). Its description in RNAcentral is "ovarian small RNA-14468". The record is from RNAcentral. Lineage: Eukaryota; Metazoa; Arthropoda; Insecta; Lepidoptera; Bombycidae.
CGGAUGUGUCCUGACGCCGUAUGGCCAUGA